GCCAGACUCCUACGGGAGGCAGCAGUGGGGGAUAUUGCACAAUGGGGGAAACCCUGAUGCAGCGACGCUGCGUGGGUGAAGAAGUAUUUCGGUAUGUAAAGCCCUAUCAGCAGGGAAGAAAGAAGACGGUACCUGACUAAGAAGCCCCGGCUAACUACGUGCCAGCAGCCGCGGUAAUACGUAGGGGGCAAGCGUUAUCCGGAUUUACUGGGUGUAAAGGGAGCGUAGACGGCAGCGCAAGUCUGGAGUGAAAUGCCGGGGCUCAACCCCGGAACUGCUUUGGAAACUGUGCAGCUAGAGUGCGGGAGAGGUAAGCGGAAUUCCUAGUGUAGCGGUGAAAUGCGUAGAUAUUAGGAGGAACACCAGUGGCGAAGGCGGCCUGCUGGACGGUGACUGACGCUGAGGCUCGAAAGCGUGGGGAGCAAACAGGAUUAGAUACCCCGGUAU
RNAcentral lists this ribosomal RNA (447 nucleotides) under uncultured bacterium. RNAcentral's name for it is "bacterial SSU rRNA". It matches the Rfam family "Bacterial small subunit ribosomal RNA", at positions 330 to 793 of the family's 1533-position model. The record is from RNAcentral.